UACCUGUACUUUUAAUAGUUGCUAUCGUUGCAUAGGAUCAGUGUAGCAUAAUUCCUCGCAUUUUUUCGAAAGUUUUUUGUUACGAGAAGUAAUUAUGACGAAUUCAGUAGAAAGCGAUCUUCGCUGUCGCAUCUGUUUGCGAACGGAUGUUGAGGAACUUAUGUCCCUAUUCUGUGUUUCUGCUACUCAGAGGAUGCUGCUAGCACACAUGGUUCUUGCCAGUACUGGUAUUCCGAUUUCUACAUUGGACCAACUACCACAGUUAAUGUGUGAUAUGUGCAUGGAGAACCUAGAGGUUGCCUAUGCAUUUUGGAAACGCUGUCGUCAAUCAUGGGGACGCUUCAAGAGAUUGCACGCUGAGAACGAAGAUAGCUAUCAUCGAUGUCGACUGUGCUUGAAAGACGAUGUCGAAGAACUUACAUUGCUCACUGAAAUUUUCGUAGACUCUAUACUUAGCAUUGGUGAAAUGAUACAGCAGUUGGCAGGUAUUGAGAUAGUCGAAACAGAUAACUUUCCUCGCUACAUUUGUGAUCUCUGCCUGAAUGAUCUAAACACUGGAUUUAAUUUUCGAACCCUUUGUCGGCAAACUAAUCAAACAUUGCAUAAACAGUUUACACCGUCGCUUAACUAUGAAGUUGAUAAUGAAGGUGUACGGCAACAGGAUUCUGAAAUCAAAGAUUUAUGUUCCAAAGAUGCUUUUCUGAGUCUCGAUAAAGCUCAAAUGAGAACAUCAAUUCAACUUACAAUAAGCCCAAUAAGUAAAUUACCAGCGAGCGCUGCUAUCAAAACUAAACAUGAGGGAAAAUCAAUAGCAAAGUCCAAAGCUAAUGUUUUCGGAAAUAAUGACCCCCCCGCUAAUAAGAGUCUUCCACAUUUUGAUAAUAAGAAAACUUCGCAGGUGAAUGACGGGACCAAUCAGAAGUCGUCGCAGAAACUAUACUUCUUGUCCUCGUCCGAGCUGAAAGAACUUGUAAAAGCAAAGCAAAAACCUGAAGCGAUUAAAAAAACUUCUGUUGAAGUAAAACUGCCUGGCAAGUCAUCCGGAAAAUGGCAACUUAUUGCAUCUGAGAGUUUUCUCAUCCCUAGCGACUCAGAGAAGCUGAACGAUAAGGGACGUUUUUCUGUGUCAAAAAUUUUCAGUUUUAAGUGUUCUGCAUGUCGAAUGACUUACACAGUAGAAGGCAUCCGUGCCAAAUGUAUCGAAUGUCAAUUACCUUUCAAAAACUUCACUUCUCUCCAAAGUGCUCGAAAGUCGAACGAAGAGUUCCAAAUUGGAUUCAGUUGCCACGAAUGUAAUUUCUACACUGUAACGGUUAUGUCAAUUAACUUACAUCUGAAAAGCCAUGACAGGAAAAUUUCUUCCGUGGAAGAUGAAAUGCUAAGUUCCAUUACUUCAAACGAAAAGAAGUUUUCGGCGCGCUUAAAACGGAAAGCAGUAAUUACUCCAAUUGACAUAAAAGAAAUGGAAUGCACUAUUGAAACACCAGACGAAGCAGAUCCUCUGGAACUUGUGCCAGCGAAAGAAAGCAUUAGUGACAAACCACUCAGCGUUGAUGAUGCAUCGAAUGCGAAAAGACCUAAGCACAGUGGUCCGAGAAACCAUUCCAGACGAAGUAAACCUCAACAACCUAUCGGUAAACAGGUCGCGUCAGCAUUAGUGGAUGAGAGCCCCCCUGCACCUCGAAGUACUCGACAGAGGAGAAAGAAUUUUGGUGUUUCGAAGCUUAGUGACGAUUUUAUCUAUUGAACAGACUUUACGUUGAAAUACGGAUCAUGAAAAAAUAAAACAGAUUGUUCUAAGGUAAGGAACAUAUUUUAAGCAGCUUCAGGAACCGCCUGUGUAUUCAGACGAAAUACUCGAAAUGUGUUGGGUGAAACUCAAACAGUAGUAUAUCAAUCUGUUCGCUAUCGUUUUCUCUAUCAGAACUUGUUUUCAGAUUGUAAAACUAAGUUAGCAAACUUUGACAAUCGUCGAUCAAAGUUACGAAUCGAGGGACACUAUUCCAAUCACCCCGAACCUAUUUUAAGCAGUUUC
RNA transcript from Wyeomyia smithii (pitcher-plant mosquito), 2035 nucleotides. RefSeq lists it as uncharacterized. The transcript is spliced from 4 exons. The record is from RefSeq and is a predicted model, not a curated record. Lineage: Eukaryota; Metazoa; Arthropoda; Insecta; Diptera; Culicidae.